GUCUUUUUGAGAUUUAAUUUAAAGUCUGACCUGCCCAUUGAAAUAAUUAAAAGGCCGCAGUAUUUUGACUGUGCAAAGGUAGCAUAAUCAUUAGUUUUUUAAUUGAAAACUUGUAUGAAUGGUUGAAUGAGAUAUAAGCUGUUUCAUAAAAAUUUAAUUAAAACUUUAUUUUUUAGUUAAAAAGCUAAAAUGUAAUUAAAAGACGAGAAGACCCUAUAAAGUUUUAUAAUUAUUUAUUAAUUUAUUUAUAUGAUUUUUUUAAAAUUUAUUAAAAAAAAUUAUUUUGUUGGGGUGAUAAUAAAAUUUAAAAAACUUUUAUUGUUUAAAACAUUAAUUUAUGAUAUGAUGAUCCUUUAUUAAAGAUUAAAAAUUUAAAUUACUUUAGGGAUAACAGCGUAAUUUUUUUUUUAAGUUCAAAUUUAUAAAAAAGUUUGCGACCUCGAUGUUGGAUUAAAAUUUAUUUUAGGUGUAGCAGUUUAAAUAUUAAGUCUGUUCGACUUUUAAAAUUUU
Molecule: ribosomal RNA, 510 nt
Filed under: Keroplatus testaceus
Lineage: Eukaryota; Metazoa; Arthropoda; Insecta; Diptera; Keroplatidae
Description: partial 16S ribosomal RNA
Source: RNAcentral